CGGGCGGACGGGUGAGUAACGCGUGGGUAACCGACCCUGUACACACGAUAACAUACCGAAAGGUAUGCUAAUACGGGAUAAUAUAUUUGAGAGGCAUCUCUUGAAUAUCAAAGGUGAGCCAGUACAGGAUGGACCCGCGUCUGAUUAGCUAGUUGGUAAGGUAACGGCUUACCAAGGCGACGAUCAGUAGCCGACCUGAGAGGGUGAUCGGCCACAUUGGAACUGAGACACGGUCCAA
RNAcentral lists this ribosomal RNA (238 nucleotides) under uncultured bacterium. RNAcentral describes it as "partial 16S ribosomal RNA". It matches the Rfam family "Bacterial small subunit ribosomal RNA", at positions 95 to 334 of the family's 1533-position model. The record is from RNAcentral.